RNAcentral lists this ribosomal RNA (401 nucleotides) under uncultured Gallicola sp. RNAcentral's name for it is "bacterial SSU rRNA". It matches the Rfam family "Bacterial small subunit ribosomal RNA", at positions 353 to 772 of the family's 1533-position model. The record is from RNAcentral. Lineage: Bacteria; Bacillati; Bacillota; Tissierellia; Tissierellales; Peptoniphilaceae.
AGUGGGGAAUAUUGCACAAUGGGGGGAACCCUGAUGCAGCGACGCCGCGUGAGCGAUGAAGGAAUUCGUUUCGUAAAGCUCUGUCCUUGGAGAAGAUAAUGACGGUAACCAAGGAGGAAGCACCGGCUAAAUACGUGCCAGCAGCCGCGGUAAUACGUAUGGUGCGAGCGUUGUCCGGAAUUAUUGGGCGUAAAGGGUACGUAGGCGGUUUGACAAGUCAGAUGUUAAAACUUGAGGCUUAACCUCAUGUUGCAUUUGAAACUGUCAAACUUGAGUAGUGGAGAGGAAAGUGGAAUUCCUAGUGUAGCGGUGAAAUGCGUAGAUAUUAGGAGGAAUACCAGUAGCGAAGGCGACUUUCUGGACACAAACUGACGCUGAGGUACGAAAGCGUGGGGAGCAAA